AGGGCGGGACACGUGAUAUCCUGUCUGAAUAUGGGGGGACCAUCCUCCAAGGCUAAAUACUACUGACUGACCGAUAGUGAACCAGUACCGUGAGGGAAAGGCGAAAAGAACCCCUGUGAGGGGAGUGAAAUAGAACCUGAAACCGUGUACGUACAAGCAGUAGGAGCAGGCUUUGUCCUGUGACUGCGUACCUUUUGUAUAAUGGGUCAGCGACUUAUAUUCAGUGGCAAGGUUAACCAUCUAGGGGAGCCGUAGGGAAACCGAGUCUUAACUGGGCGUUCAGUCUCUGGAUAUAGACCCGAAACCAGGUGAUCUAGCCAUGGGCAGGUUGAAGGUUGAGUAACAUCAACUGGAGGACCGAACCGACUAAUGUUGAAAAAUUAGCGGAUGACUUGUGGCUAGGGGUGAAAGGCCAAUCAAACCUGGAGAUAGCUGGUUCUCCCCGAAAGCUAUUUAGGUAGCGCCUCGGACGAAUACUACUGGGGGUAGAGCACUGUUAAGGCUAGGGGGUCAUCCCGACUUACCAACCCUUUGCAAACUCCGAAUACCAGUAAGUACUAUCCGGGAGACACACGGCGGGUGCUAACGUCCGUCGUGGAGAGGGAAACAACCCAGACCGCCAGCUAAGGUCCCAAAUUACUACUAAGUGGGAAACGAUGUGGGAAGGCUCAGACAGCCAGGAUGUUGGCUUAGAAGCAGCCAUCAUUUAAAGAAAGCGUAAUAGCUCACUGGUCGAGUCGGCCUGCGCGGAAGAUGUAACGGGGCUAAGUAGUAAACCGAAGCUGCGGCAAUACUCUUUGAGUAUUGGGUAGGGGAGCGUUCUGUAAGCGGUUGAAGGUGUGUGGUAACGCAUGCUGGACGUAUCAGAAGUGCGAAUGCUGACAUGAGUAACGAUAAAGGGGGUGAAAAACCUCCUCGCCGGAAGACCAAGGGUUCCUGUCCAACGUUAAUCGGGGCAGGGUAAGUCGACCCCUAAGGCGAGGCCGAAAGGCGUAGUCGAUGGGAAACGGGUUAAUAUUCCCGUACUUCUUACAAUUGCGAUGGGGGGACGGAGAAGGCUAGGUGGGCCUGGCGACGGUUGUCCAGGUUCAAGUGCGUAGGCUUAAGAGUUAGGUAAAUCCGGCUCUUUUUAAGGCUGAGACACGACGUCGAGCACCUACGGGUGUGAAGUCAUUGAUGCCAUGCUUCCAGGAAAAGCCUCUAAGCUUCAGAUUGUAAGGAAUCGUACCCCAAACCGACACAGGUGGUCGGGUAGAGAAUACCAAGGCGCUUGAGAGAACUCGGGUGAAGGAACUAGGCAAAAUGGUACCGUAACUUCGGGAGAAGGUACGCUCUUGAUGGUGAAGUCCCUCGCGGAUGGAGCUGACGAGAGUCGCAGAUACCAGGUGGCUGCAACUGUUUAUUAAAAACACAGCACUGUGCAAAAUCGUAAGAUGACGUAUACGGUGUGACGCCUGCCCGGUGCCGGAAGGUUAAUUGAUGGGGUUAGACUUCGGUCGAAGCUCUUGAUCGAAGCCCCGGUAAACGGCGGCCGUAACUAUAACGGUCCUAAGGUAGCGAAAUUCCUUGUCGGGUAAGUUCCGACCUGCACGAAUGGCGUAAUGAUGGCCACGCUGUCUCCACCCGAGACUCAGUGAAAUUGAAAUCGCUGUGAAGAUGCAGUGUACCCGCGGCUAGACGGAAAGACCCCGUGAACCUUUACUACAGCUUGGCACUGAACAUUGACCCUACAUGUGUAGGAUAGGUGGGAGGCUUUGAAGCACGUACGCCAGUAUGUGUGGAGCCGUCCUUGAAAUACCACCCUU
This 1805-nucleotide ribosomal RNA is filed under the name Vibrio parahaemolyticus. Its description in RNAcentral is "partial 23S ribosomal RNA". It matches the Rfam family "Bacterial large subunit ribosomal RNA", at positions 414 to 2207 of the family's 2925-position model. The record is from RNAcentral. Lineage: Bacteria; Pseudomonadati; Pseudomonadota; Gammaproteobacteria; Vibrionales; Vibrionaceae.